CAGCUGUGUGGCCUACAAACAAUGCAAUCAGACAAAGCACAAAGUACGUGUUUCUUUUGUUUUCCGGUGCUCACACACCGCUAAGAACUGGACAGCACCAGGGCACAGACAGAGAAGGGAGAUGUCAAAAAUCCUGCUCCAACCAGCAGCACCAUAACUAUCACAACAGGGCCUACCUACACUCUGCCUGCAUCAGCGGCAGAGAUCUUCCUACAGAGAUGGGAAGCAAAUGGCAUUCACUCCAAACAUGACAUUUCCUCACUGCAGAACACUGCAUUGAGACUGACACACCCUGGAAAACCAUCUGAAUCCUGUUUGGGUAGAAGAAAAUACAUUUUGUAAACAUGCUGAAAAUUCACGACUUUGCUUACUUCGGUUACAAGCAUGCAUUUCUGCUACCAGAG
Molecule: long non-coding RNA, 404 nt
Filed under: Chrysolophus pictus (golden pheasant)
Lineage: Eukaryota; Metazoa; Chordata; Aves; Galliformes; Phasianidae
Description: lncRNA (ENSCPIG00010012924.1)
Source: RNAcentral